Molecule: long non-coding RNA, 319 nt
Organism: Mastomys coucha (southern multimammate mouse)
Lineage: Eukaryota; Metazoa; Chordata; Mammalia; Rodentia; Muridae
Exons: 2
Source: RefSeq, a predicted model, not a curated record
CCCCCAGCCUGAGGCACCGCGGGGGCGAGUUCCCGGGAACGCCUCCCCGCCCUUCUCAGGCAACCCCGCCCACUGGGCCCGCCCCGUCCCGCCGGCUACUCACCGGAUUCGCUUCCCACAUAACGUGUUUUCAAAAUAAUGAGUUCUCAUCCUGAGAACACUUGUUCCUGUAUUCAGGUCGUAUGUCGGGAGGCGGAGUGGUCUGGGUGGAUGAACCCAGAACCUCACACAUGCCAAACACCUCUUCCACCACUGAGUUAAACCUCGACUGCCUAAGUCUCUGAUAGCUUUAAAUACAUUAAAAAUAUUUAUACAACAA